CCCCAGACUGAUCACUGGGAGAUGUUUUUAAACAGACUAGCUAUUGAUGGCUCUGCUUCAAAAAGCAACAUUCAGAAAAAUUAAGACAGAAGGAAACAUAAGACUCACAAACCUCACCCAACAGGUCUGACCUUUGACACCCAAAACAUGGCUUGCCUCCCCUCAGUGGUAGGCUGAGCUUUCUAAUGCACUACAUAACCUGUAUCGUUUGUCUCUUGACAGGUCUGCUUGUGGUCACUAGCAAAUGAAAGGACAACGUCACCACUCUGGCUCUGAAAGGAUUGGUGUAUUACACUUUGUUAAGCUAUACUUACAUCUGGGAAUCUCCGAUGCCAAAGCCAAUCUUGGGACUGCUGAGUUUAUGUAAGGUUUGAAAACUAUAGAUUCAUUCCUGCUGCCUUCUAUCGGUUGCACAUAGAUCACAACUCAACCCAACUUCAAGGGGAAGGAACAUGGAUAUACCUCAACUGGUG
Molecule: non-coding RNA, 473 nt
Organism: Cricetulus griseus (Chinese hamster)
Lineage: Eukaryota; Metazoa; Chordata; Mammalia; Rodentia; Cricetidae
Source: RefSeq, a predicted model, not a curated record